Molecule: ribosomal RNA, 408 nt
Filed under: uncultured bacterium
Lineage: Bacteria
Description: partial 16S ribosomal RNA
Rfam family: Bacterial small subunit ribosomal RNA
Source: RNAcentral
AGUGAACGCUGGCGGCGGGCCUAAUACAUGCAAGUCGAACGGAGUGGCGCACGGGUGAGUAAUGUAUAGCUAAUCUGCCCUACACUAGAGGACAACAGUUGGAAACGACUGCUAAUACUCUAUAGUGUAGGAUGAGGCUAUAUUGUAUCAGCUAGUUGGUGAGGUAAUGGCUCACCAAGGAUAUGACGCAUAACUGGUCUGAGAGGAUGAUCAGUCACACUGGAACUGAGACACGGUCCAGACUCCUACGGGAGGCAGCAGUAGGGAAUAUUGCUCAACGGCGGAAACUACGAAGCAGCCACGGCGCGUGGCGGAUGAUAUUUUUCGGAGCGUAAAAGCCUUUUGUUAGCGCAGCGGUACCUAACGAAUAAGCACCGGCUAACUCCGUGCCAGCAGCCGCGGUAAUAC